GAUGAACGCUGGCGGUAUGCUUAACACAUGCAAGUCGUACGGAACCUUUUUUGCUUGCAGAAAAGUUUUAGUGGCGAACGGGUGAGUAACGCGUAAGAAUCUGCCCUCAGGAAGGGGAUAACAGUGGGAAACUACUGCUAAUACCCUAUAAGCGCAUGCGUAAAAGCCUUCGGGCACCUGGGGAUGAGCUUGCGUCUGAUUAGCUAGUUGGUGAGGUAAUGGCUUACCAAGGCGAUGAUCAGUAGCUGGUCUGAGAGGAUGAUCAGCCACACUGGGACUGAGACACGGCCCAGACUUCUACGGAGCAGCAGUGGGGAAUUUCCGCAAUGGGCGCAAGCCUGACGGAGCAAUACCGCGUGGAGGAUGACGGCCU
RNAcentral lists this ribosomal RNA (373 nucleotides) under uncultured bacterium. RNAcentral describes it as "bacterial SSU rRNA". It matches the Rfam family "Bacterial small subunit ribosomal RNA", at positions 28 to 417 of the family's 1533-position model. The record is from RNAcentral.